UACGUAGGGUGCGAGCGUUGUCCGGAAUUAUUGGGCGUAAAGGGCUCGUAGGCGGUUUGUCACGUCGGGAGUGAAAACUCGGAGCUUAACUCCGAGCCUGCUUCCGAUACGGGCUGACUAGAGGUAUGCAGGGGAGAACGGAAUUCCUGGUGUAGCGGUGAAAUGCGCAGAUAUCAGGAGGAACACCGGUGGCGAAGGCGGUUCUCUGGGCAUUACCUGACGCUGAGGAGCGAAAGUGUGGGGAGCGAACAGG
RNAcentral lists this ribosomal RNA (253 nucleotides) under uncultured bacterium. RNAcentral's name for it is "partial 16S ribosomal RNA". It matches the Rfam family "Bacterial small subunit ribosomal RNA", at positions 524 to 776 of the family's 1533-position model. The record is from RNAcentral.